AUGAACGCUGGCGGCGUGCCUAACACAUGCAAGUCGAACGAACCUUGGGGAACAGAUUACUUCGGUUUGAAGUUCCCCGCUGGUUAGUGGCGGACGGGUGAGUAACGCGUGGGUAACCUGCCGUAUGCAGGGGGAUAACAGUUAGAAAUGACUGCUAAUACCGCAUAAGCGCACGGAGACGCAUGUCUUUGUGUGAAAAGCCGAGACGGUAUGAGAUGGACCCGCGUCUGAUUAGUUAGUUGGUGGGGCAACGGCCUACCAAGGCGACGAUCAGUAGCCGGUCUGAGAGGAUGAACGGCCACAUUGGAACUGAGACACGGUCCAGACUCCUACGGGAGGCAGCAGUGGGGAAUCUUCCGCAAUGGGCGAAAGCCUGACGGAGCAACGCCGCGUGAGUGAAGAAGGUCUUCGGAUCGUAAAGCUCUGUUGUCGGGGACGAAUGUUGAGGCCUAGAACAUAGGUUUCAAAUGACGGUACCUGACGAGGAAGCCACGGCUAACUACGUG
Molecule: ribosomal RNA, 506 nt
Filed under: uncultured bacterium
Lineage: Bacteria
Description: bacterial SSU rRNA
Rfam family: Bacterial small subunit ribosomal RNA
Source: RNAcentral